RNAcentral lists this ribosomal RNA (608 nucleotides) under Photobacterium phosphoreum. Its description in RNAcentral is "bacterial SSU rRNA". It matches the Rfam family "Bacterial small subunit ribosomal RNA", at positions 1 to 595 of the family's 1533-position model. Lineage: Bacteria; Pseudomonadati; Pseudomonadota; Gammaproteobacteria; Vibrionales; Vibrionaceae. The record is from RNAcentral.
UUAAUUGAAGAGUUUGAUCAUGGCUCAGAUUGAACGCUGGCGGCAGGCCUAACACAUGCAAGUCGAGCGGUAACAGAUUGAUAGCUUGCUAUCAAUGCUGACGAGCGGCGGACGGGUGAGUAAUGCCUGGGAAUAUACCCUGAUGUGGGGGAUAACUAUUGGAAACGAUAGCUAAUACCGCAUAAUCUCUUCGGAGCAAAGAGGGGGACCUUCGGGCCUCUCGCGUCAGGAUUAGCCCAGGUGGGAUUAGCUAGUUGGUGGGGUAAUGGCUCACCAAGGCGACGAUCCCUAGCUGGUCUGAGAGGAUGAUCAGCCACACUGGAACUGAGACACGGUCCAGACUCCUACGGGAGGCAGCAGUGGGGAAUAUUGCACAAUGGGGGAAACCCUGAUGCAGCCAUGCCGCGUGUAUGAAGAAGGCCUUCGGGUUGUAAAGUACUUUCAGUUGUGAGGAAGGCGUUGGAGUUAAUAGCUUCAGCGUUUGACGUUAGCAACAGAAGAAGCACCGGCUAACUCCGUGCCAGCAGCCGCGGUAAUACGGAGGGUGCGAGCGUUAAUCGGAAUUACUGGGCGUAAAGCGCAUGCAGGCGGUCUGUUAAGCAAGAUGU